CUCGAGAAGAAGAUUUUGAGAAUAAUAUAAGCUCGAAAAUAGUUAUUGGUAAGAAAUAAAGUUCGAUUUUUACACGAAUCGACUCUUAAGUGUUAUACAUUAGUAAUCACCAACCCAAGUCCUAGAAGGGAUUCAGGUCUCCAACCCGCAACUUGGAUAGGUCCUACCAGAAGAUUGAGUGCAAGGCAAACGACGAAAGGACAGCAAAGUGAGCUCACGGACCCAGCUCGCAAGAACAUAUGUUAGCCUUGGUCUUAGCCCGCAUAUACCCAAGGAGCUUGCAGAAAGGACCACGUGCUCCACAUGCCAUCUAAACACGUGUCCAACAAGCAUGGAGUCCACCUAGAAUCAGUCCCAUGGAUAGAAAGGACGGCGUGCUCCGUGAAUACGUACCCAGUAGACCUGGAGUUCGCAGAGAAUGUCAGUAUUAGAGGUAGCAGAGUCAAAAUAAAAUAGUGGGGCUUGAUUAUGAGUUGUAAUAACAUCUAUAAUAACAUGUAUAAAUACCCGAACACUCCUACCAAUAACACGAGAAAAUAUUACUCAAUAAAAGAUAUAAAAAGAUAUUAUACCUUAAAUAUUUAA
Molecule: long non-coding RNA, 585 nt
Organism: Gossypium arboreum
Lineage: Eukaryota; Viridiplantae; Streptophyta; Magnoliopsida; Malvales; Malvaceae
Exons: 2
Source: RefSeq, a predicted model, not a curated record